RNAcentral lists this ribosomal RNA (659 nucleotides) under uncultured Actinomycetes bacterium. Its description in RNAcentral is "bacterial SSU rRNA". It matches the Rfam family "Bacterial small subunit ribosomal RNA", at positions 770 to 1428 of the family's 1533-position model. The record is from RNAcentral. Lineage: Bacteria; Bacillati; Actinomycetota; Actinomycetes.
GAACAGGAUUAGAUACCCUGGUAGUCCACGCCGUAAACGGUGGGUGCUAGUUGUGGGUCACAUUCCACGUGAUCCGUGACGAAGUUAACACAUUAAGCACCCCGCCUGGGGAGUACGGUCGCAAGACUAAAACUCAAAGGAAUUGACGGGGGCCCGCACAAGCGGCGGAGCAUGCGGAUUAAUUCGAUGCAACGCGAAGAACCUUACCAAGGCUUGACAUAUACAGGAAAAGCGUAGAAAUACGCUCCCCGCAAGGUCUGUAUACAGGUGGUGCAUGGUUGUCGUCAGCUCGUGUCGUGAGAUGUUGGGUUAAGUCCCGCAACGAGCGCAACCCUCGUCCUAUGUUGCCAGCACGUAAUGGUGGGAACUCAUGGGAGACUGCCGGGGUCAACUCGGAGGAAGGUGGGGAUGACGUCAAAUCAUCAUGCCCCUUAUGUCUUGGGCUUCACGCAUGCUACAAUGGCCAGUACAAAGGGCUGCGAUACCGUAAGGUGGAGCGAAUCCCAUAAAGCUGGUCUCAGUUCGGAUUGAGGUCUGCAACUCGACCUCAUGAAGUCGGAGUCGCUAGUAAUCGUAGAUCAGCAACGCUACGGUGAAUACGUUCCCGGGCCUUGUACACACCGCCCGUCAAGUCACGAAAGUCGGUAACACCCGAAGCC